RNAcentral lists this unclassified non-coding RNA (353 nucleotides) under soil metagenome. RNAcentral describes it as "partial contains 5.8S ribosomal RNA, internal transcribed spacer 2, and large subunit ribosomal RNA". The stretch from base 1 to 120 matches the Rfam family "5.8S ribosomal RNA", at positions 35 to 154 of the family's 154-position model. The record is from RNAcentral.
GAUGAAGAACGUAGCGAAAUGCGAUAAGUAAUGUGAAUUGCAGAAUUCAGUGAAUCAUCGAAUCUCUGAACGCACAUUGCGCCCGCCAGUAUUCUGGCGGGCAUGCCUGUUCGAGCGUCAUUACAACCCUCAGGCCCCCGGGCCUGGCGUUGGGGAUCGGCGGAAGCCCCCUGCGGGCACAACGCCGUCCCCCAAAUACAGUGGCGGUCCCGCCGCAGCUUCCAUUGCGUAGUAGCUAACACCUCGCAACUGGAGAGCGGCGCGGCCACGCCGUAAAACACCCAACUUCUGAAUGUUGACCUCGAAUCAGGUAGGAAUACCCGCUGAACUUAAGCAUAUCAAUAAGCGGAGGA